UUCCUGGAGGACUAGUGGUUAGGCCUCAGCGCUCUCACCGCCAUGGCCCGGGUUCGACUCCCAGCCAGGGAA
This 72-nucleotide transfer RNA is filed under the name Pangasianodon hypophthalmus (striped catfish). It matches the Rfam family "tRNA". Rfam says of the family: Transfer RNA (tRNA) molecules are approximately 80 nucleotides in length. Their secondary structure includes four short double-helical elements and three loops (D, anti-codon, and T loops). The record is from Rfam by way of RNAcentral. Lineage: Eukaryota; Metazoa; Chordata; Actinopteri; Siluriformes; Pangasiidae.